AGUGAACGCUGGCGGUAGGCCUAACACAUGCAAGUCGAACGGCAGCACAGUAAGAGCUUGCUCUUACGGGUGGCGAGUGGCGGACGGGUGAGGAAUACAUCGGACUCUACUUUUUCGUGGGGGAUAACGUAGGGAAACUUACGCUAAUACCGCAUACGACCUACGGGUGAAAGCAGGGGAUCUUCGGACCUUGCGCGAUUGAAUGAGCCGAUGUCGGAUUAGCUAGUUGGCGGGGUAAAGGCCCACCAAGGCGACGAUCCGUAGCUGGUCUGAGAGGAUGAUCAGCCACACUGGAACUGAGACACGGUCCAGACUCCUACGGGAGGCAGCAGUGGGGAAUAUUGGACAAUGGGCGCAAGCCUGAUCCAGCCAUACCGCGUGUGUGAAGAAGGCCUUCGGGUUGUAAAGCCCUUUUGUUGGGAAAGAAAAGCAGCAGGUUAAUACCCCGCUGUUCUGACGGUACCCAAAGAAUAAGCACCGGCUAACUUCGUG
Molecule: ribosomal RNA, 492 nt
Filed under: uncultured bacterium
Lineage: Bacteria
Description: partial 16S ribosomal RNA
Rfam family: Bacterial small subunit ribosomal RNA
Source: RNAcentral